AGCUUUUCGCAGUGGCAGUAUCGUGGCCAAUGAGGUUUAUCCGAGGCGCAAUUAUUGCUAAUUGAAAACUUUUCCCAAUACCCCGCCAUGACGACUUGAAAUAUAGUUGGCGUUGGCAAUUUUUGGCAGUCUCUACGGAGA
Molecule: small nuclear RNA, 141 nt
Filed under: Aotus nancymaae (Ma's night monkey)
Lineage: Eukaryota; Metazoa; Chordata; Mammalia; Primates; Aotidae
Description: U4 spliceosomal RNA (ENSANAG00000010525.1)
Rfam family: U4 spliceosomal RNA
About the family: U4 small nuclear RNA (U4 snRNA) is a component of the major U2-dependent spliceosome. The structure of U4 snRNA from yeast and human has been reported. U4 snRNA presents a k-turn RNA motif in the 5p-SL related to recognition of Snu13 protein.
Source: Rfam by way of RNAcentral